This 26-nucleotide non-coding RNA is filed under the name Mus musculus (house mouse). Lineage: Eukaryota; Metazoa; Chordata; Mammalia; Rodentia; Muridae. The record is from RNAcentral.
UCACUUGACGCCUCUCUGUUCUGUUC